CAAACUUGAGAGUUUGAUCCUGGCUCAGAACAAACGCUGGCGGCAUGCCUAACACAUGCAAGUCGAACGAAGAAUGUUUACAUUCUUAGUGGCAAACGGGUGAGUAACGCGUGAGAAUCUGCCUUUUGGUGGGGGAUAACUAAGGGAAACUUUAGCUAAUACCGCAUAAGCUUGGAAACAAGGAAAAAUUUAUUGCCAAGAGAUGAGCUCGCGUCAGAUUAGGUAGUUGGUAGGGUAAAGGCCUACCAAGCCUGUGAUCUGUAGCUGGUCUGAGAGGAUGAUCAGCCACACUGGGAUUGAGAUACGGCCCAGACUCCUACGGGAGGCAGCAGUGAGGAAUAUUGGACAAUGGGGGAAACCCUGAUCCAGCAAUGCCGCGUGAGUGAAGAAGGCCUUUGGGUUGUAAAGCUCUUUUACUCGUGAAGAUGAUGACGGUAGCGAGAGAAAAAGUUCCGGCUAACUCUGUGCCAGCAGCCGCGGUAAGACAGAGGGAACUAGCGUUGUUCGGAUUGACUGGGCGUAAAGGGUGCGUAGGUGGUCACUUAAGUAAGAUGUUAAAGCCCAGGGCUUAACCCUGGAAUCGCGUUUUAAACUGAGAGACUAGAGUGUGGUAGAGGAAAACGGAAUUCCUAGUGUAGAGGUGAAAUUCGUAGAUAUUAGGAGGAACACCGGAGGCGAAGGCGGUUUUCUGGGCCAUUACUGACACUGAGGCACGAAAGCGUGGGGAGCAAACAGGAUUAGAUACCCUGGUAGUCCACGCCCUAAACGAUGAGUGCUAGACGUCGGGUUUUCUCGGUGUCGCAGCUAACGCGUUAAGCACUCCGCCUGGGGACUACGGUCGCAAGACUAAAACUUAAAGGAAUUGACGGGGGCCCGCACAAGCGGUGGAGCAUGUGGUUUAAUUCGAUAAUACGCGAACAACCUUACCAGAUCUUGACAUGGGGGUCGAGAGCCUUAGAAAUAAGGUUCACCGGUUCGGCCGGACCCCACACAGGUGCUGCAUGGCUGUCGUCAGCUCGUGUCGUGAGAUAUUGGGUUAAGUCCCGCAACGAGCGCAACCCUUGUCCUUAUUUGCUAACAGGUAAUGCUGAGAACUAUAGGGAGACUGCCGGUGAUAAAUCGGAGGAAGGUGAGGAUGACGUCAAGUCCUCAUGGCCUUUAUGGUCUGGGCUACACACGUGCUACAAUGGUGACUACAGAGGGAAGCAAUAGGGUAACCUGGAGCAAAUCCCCAAAAGUCAUCUCAGUUCGGAUUGUUCUCUGCAACUCGAGAACAUGAAGUUGGAAUCGCUAGUAAUCGUGGAUCAGAAUGCCACGGUGAAUACGUUCACGGGCCUUGUACACACCGCCCGUCAAGCCAUGGGAGUUGGUCUUACCUGAAUCCGGUGCGCUAACCGAAAGGAAGCAGCCGUAUAUGGUUGGGUCGAUGACUGGGGUUAAGUCGUAACAAGGUAGCCGUAGGGGAACCUGCGGCUGGAUCACCUCCUUUCUAGGG
RNAcentral lists this ribosomal RNA (1495 nucleotides) under Alphaproteobacteria bacterium 40-19. RNAcentral describes it as "bacterial SSU rRNA". It matches the Rfam family "Bacterial small subunit ribosomal RNA". Lineage: Bacteria; Pseudomonadati; Pseudomonadota; Alphaproteobacteria. The record is from RNAcentral.